This 427-nucleotide ribosomal RNA is filed under the name uncultured bacterium. RNAcentral's name for it is "partial 16S ribosomal RNA". It matches the Rfam family "Bacterial small subunit ribosomal RNA", at positions 355 to 774 of the family's 1533-position model. The record is from RNAcentral.
UGGGGAAUAUUGGACAAUGGGCGAAAGCCUGAUCCAGCCAUGCCGCGUGUGUGAAGAAGGUCUUCGGAUUGUAAAGCACUUUAAGUUGGGAGGAAGGGCAUUAACCUAAUACGUUAGUGUUUUGACGUUACCGACAGAAUAAGCACCGGCUAACUCUGUGCCAGCAGCCGCGGUAAUACAGAGGGUGCAAGCGUUAAUCGGAAUUACUGGGCGUAAAGCGCGCGUAGGUGGUUUGUUAAGUUGGAUGUGAAAUCCCCGGGCUCAACCUGGGAACUGCAUUCAAAACUGACUGACUAGAGUAUGGGAGAGGGUGGUGGAAUUUCCUGUGUAGCGGUGAAAUGCGUAGAUAUAGGAAGGAACACCAGUGGCGAAGGCGACCACCUGGACUAAUACUGACACUGAGGUGCGAAAGCGUGGGGAGCAAACA